RNAcentral lists this ribosomal RNA (492 nucleotides) under uncultured bacterium. Its description in RNAcentral is "partial 16S ribosomal RNA". It matches the Rfam family "Bacterial small subunit ribosomal RNA", at positions 29 to 507 of the family's 1533-position model. The record is from RNAcentral.
AGUGAACGCUGGCGGUAGGCCUAACACAUGCAAGUCGAACGGCAGCACAGUAAGAGCUUGCUCUUACGGGUGGCGAGUGGCGGACGGGUGAGGAAUACAUCGGAAUCUACUUUUUCGUGGGGGAGAACGUAGGGAAACUUACGCUAAUACCGCAUACGACCUACGGGUGAAAUCAGGGGAUCUUCGGACCUUGCGCGAUUGAAUGAGCCGAGGUCGGAUUAGCUAGUUGGCGGGGUAAAGGCCCACCAAGGCGACGAUCCGUAGCUGGUCUGAGAGGAUGAUCAGCCACACUGGAACCGAGACACGGUCCAGACUCCUACGGGAGGCAGCAGUGGGGAAUAUUGGACAAUGGGCGCAAGCCUGAUCCAGCCAUACCGCGUGGGUGAAGAAGGCCUUCGGGUUGUAAAGCCCUUUUGUUGGGAAAGAAAAGCAGCAGGUUAAUACCCCGCUGUUCUGACGGUACCCAAAGAAUAAGCACCGGCUAACUUCGUG